This 252-nucleotide ribosomal RNA is filed under the name uncultured bacterium. RNAcentral's name for it is "partial 16S ribosomal RNA". It matches the Rfam family "Bacterial small subunit ribosomal RNA", at positions 524 to 776 of the family's 1533-position model. The record is from RNAcentral.
UACAGAGGUCUCAAGCGUUGUUCGGAUUCACUGGGCGUAAAGGGUGCGUAGGUGGUGAGGAAAGUCGGAUGUGAAAUCUCCAAGCUCAACUUGGAAACUGCAUUGGAAACUACCUUGCUAGAGGAUUUGAGGGGGAUUGGAAUACUUGGUGUAGCAGUGAAAUGCGUAGAUAUCAAGUGGAACACCAGUGGCGAAGGCGAAUCCCUGGAAAAUACCUGACACUGAGGCACGAAAGCUAGGGGAGCAAACAGG